GCCGCAGUAGCCUGACUGUGCUAAGGUAGCAUAAUCAUUAGGUUUUUUAUUGGGAUCUGGUAUGAAGGAAUAAAUAGAGAAUAGCUAUCUGACAAGAGGAUUUGAAUUUAAAUUUUUAGUAAUAAUGCUAGAAUUUGUUUGUGGGACGAUAAGACCCUAUAAAGCUUAAUUUUUUAACUUUAGGUGUUUUUACUGAAUCUAAGGGGUUGUAAAUUAGACUGGGGCGGUUGACAGAUUAACCUGUUUUAAUUAGUGUGUGUUUCGACCCGCUAUGAGUGAAAAUGAGAAUAAGUUACUUUAGGGAUAACAGCAUAAUACCCUUAUGGAGUUCUAAUCGAAGGGGGGGAUUGUGACCUCGAUGUUGAAUUAAUCUUAAUAUACGGUGUAGAAAUUGUAUGUUUUAGUCUGUUCGACUAUUGAAUGAUUACAUGAUUUGAGUUCAAACCGGUGUAAG
This 454-nucleotide ribosomal RNA is filed under the name Pseudogagrella arishana. RNAcentral's name for it is "partial 16S ribosomal RNA". It matches the Rfam family "Bacterial large subunit ribosomal RNA", at positions 1930 to 2625 of the family's 2925-position model. The record is from RNAcentral. Lineage: Eukaryota; Metazoa; Arthropoda; Arachnida; Opiliones; Sclerosomatidae.